UGAUGUGCAUGAUGAAUAUGUGACUUUAUGGGAACCAGUGUUUUCGUGACGUUCUGAAUUUCUAACCCCUUCAGAUUUUGAUAUAUCCAUGGAACAGGCCACGAUGCUCUUGAUAUCUGAGAAUAUGCAAUGUCCUUUUGAAAAGGAAGAAACCUCCGUGCUAGUUAAAUUGUGACUACUGAUUUAUAGACCCCGUGUUUUGCUUAAGAGGUAAUGU
This 217-nucleotide long non-coding RNA is filed under the name Lathyrus oleraceus (garden pea). RNAcentral's name for it is "Pisum sativum (pea) long non-coding RNA (PSAT_LNC034771)". The record is from RNAcentral. Lineage: Eukaryota; Viridiplantae; Streptophyta; Magnoliopsida; Fabales; Fabaceae.